UACUAGAGUAGCACUCGCAUAUCAAUAAGCGGAGGAAAAGAAACUAACAAGGAUUCCCCUAGUAACGGCGAGUGAAGCGGGAAGAGCUCAAAUUUGAAAUCUUAAAGGGUUUCCCUUUACGAAUUGUAGUUUAAAGAAGUGUUUUCUGUUGAGGUUUUGGUAAAAGUUCUUUGGAAUAGGACAUCAUAGAGGGUGAGAAUCCCGUAUUUGACCUUUACUUUCAACUUUGUGAUACACUUUCAAAGAGUCGGAUUGUUUGGGAAUGCAGUCCAAAAUGGGUGGUAAAUUUCAUCUAAAGCUAAAUAUUGGCGAGAGACCGAUAGCGAACAAGUACCGUGAGGGAAAGAUGAAAAGAACUUUGAAAAGAGAGUUAAACAGUACGUGAAAUUGUCAAAAGGGAAGCGUUUGACACCAGUGUUGUUUUUCUGAAAAUCAAUUAAAGAACUGUUUAUGCUAAGCUUGUUUAGACUUUAUCAGCUAUCUGUUUAGUUUUAGGCUUUUCUUUAAUGCACUUUUCAGUUAACAAGUCAACAUCAAUUUCUUUUGCUGUAAAAAAGCUUGAGGAAGGUGGCUUGAGAUUCGUCUUAAGUGUUUAUAGCCUCUUGCCUAUGCAGUCGGAGAGAUUGAGGUCUGCAGCGUAGAUCCUUCGGGGCUAAAUGCAUUUGUGCUAAGUUAUAGCAUUUUAUAGACAACUUGUUGACUAUGAUUUGUCUUGUAGCUUACUCGCUUAUGUUAUUUUACCUACGCUUAGGAUGUUGAGCGCAUGUCUCUCUCU
This 775-nucleotide ribosomal RNA is filed under the name uncultured Neocallimastigales. Its description in RNAcentral is "partial large subunit ribosomal RNA". It matches the Rfam family "Eukaryotic large subunit ribosomal RNA", at positions 20 to 616 of the family's 3401-position model. Lineage: Eukaryota; Fungi; Neocallimastigomycota; Neocallimastigomycetes; Neocallimastigales. The record is from RNAcentral.